RNAcentral lists this ribosomal RNA (301 nucleotides) under uncultured bacterium. RNAcentral describes it as "partial 16S ribosomal RNA". It matches the Rfam family "Bacterial small subunit ribosomal RNA", at positions 509 to 807 of the family's 1533-position model. The record is from RNAcentral.
CAGUAGCCGCGGUAACACGUAGGGUGCGAGCGUUAAUCGGAAUUACUGGGCGUAAAGCGUGCGCAGGCGGUUAUGUAAGACAGAUGUGAAAUCCCCGGGCUCAACCUGGGAACUGCAUUUGUGACUGCAUGGCUAGAGUACGGUAGAGGGGGAUGGAAUUCCGCGUGUAGCAGUGAAAUGCGUAGAUAUGCGGAGGAACACCGAUGGCGAAGGCAAUCCCCUGGACCUGUACUGACGCUCAUGCACGAAAGCGUGGGGAGCAAACAGGAUUAGAUACCCCCGUAGUCCCUGUCUCUUAUAC